AGUGAACGCUGGCGGUAGGCCUAACACAUGCAAGUCGAACGGCAGCACAGUAAGAGCUUGCUCUUACGGGUGGCGAGUGGCGGACGGGUGAGGAAUACAUCGGAAUCUACUUUUUCGUGGGGGAUAACGUAGGGAAACUUACGCUAAUACCGCAUACGACCUACGGGUGAAAGCAGGGGAUCUUCGGACCUUGCGCGACUGAAUGAGCCGAUGUCGGAUUAGCUAGUUGGCGGGGUAAAGGCCCACCAAGGCGACGAUCCGUAGCUGGUCUGAGAGGAUGAUCAGCCACACUGGAACUGAGACACGGUCCAGACUCCUACGGGAGGCAGCAGUAGGGAAUAUUGGACAAUGGGCGCAAGCCUGAUCCAGCCAUGCCGCGUGGGUGAAGAAGGCCUUCGGGUUGUAAAGCCCUUUUGUUGGGAAAGAAAAGCAGAAGGUUAAUACCCCGCUGUUCUGACGGUACCCAAAGAGUAAGCACCGGCUAACUUCGUG
This 492-nucleotide ribosomal RNA is filed under the name uncultured bacterium. RNAcentral's name for it is "partial 16S ribosomal RNA". It matches the Rfam family "Bacterial small subunit ribosomal RNA", at positions 29 to 507 of the family's 1533-position model. The record is from RNAcentral.